Culex pipiens (northern house mosquito) is the source of this 46-nucleotide non-coding RNA. The record is from Rfam. Lineage: Eukaryota; Metazoa; Arthropoda; Insecta; Diptera; Culicidae.
UAAACGGCCCUUUUCAGGGCCAAUAUAUCAAUCACGAAAGAGUUUG